AACGAACGCUGGCGGCAUGCCUAACACAUGCAAGUCGAACGAGACCUUCGGGUCUAGUGGCGCACGGGUGCGUAACGCGUGGGAACCUGCCCUUAGGUUCGGAAUAACUCCCCGAAAGGGGUGCUAAUACCGGAUAAUGUCUUCGGACCAAAGAUUUAUCGCCUUUGGAUGGGCCCGCGUUGGAUUAGCUAGUUGGUAGGGUAAAAGCCUACCAAGGCGACGAUCCAUAGCUGGUCUGAGAGGAUGAUCAGCCACACUGGGACUGAGACACGGCCCAGACUCCUAGGGGAGGCAGAAGUGGGGAAAAUUGGAAAAUGGCGAAAGCCUGAUCCAGCAAUGCCGCGUGAGUGAUGAAGGCCUUAGGGUUGUAAAGCUCUUUUACCCGGGAUGAUAAUGACAGUACCGGGAGAAUAAGCUCCGGCUAACUCCGUG
RNAcentral lists this ribosomal RNA (432 nucleotides) under uncultured bacterium. RNAcentral describes it as "partial 16S ribosomal RNA". It matches the Rfam family "Bacterial small subunit ribosomal RNA", at positions 29 to 507 of the family's 1533-position model. The record is from RNAcentral.